Molecule: ribosomal RNA, 513 nt
Filed under: Hansarsia tenella
Lineage: Eukaryota; Metazoa; Arthropoda; Malacostraca; Euphausiacea; Euphausiidae
Description: partial 16S ribosomal RNA
Rfam family: Archaeal large subunit ribosomal RNA
Source: RNAcentral
GUCUUUAUGUUUAGAUUUAUAAAGUCUGGCCUGCCCACUGAAGUUUAAAGGGCCGCGGUAUUUUGACCGUGCAAAGGUAGCAUAGUAAUUAGUCUUUUAAUUGGAGGCUUGUAUGAAUGGUUGAACAAGAAAUAAUUUGUCUUAAUUGAAAUUAUUGAAUUUAACUUUUAAGUAAAAAGGCUUAAAUAAAUUAAAGUGACGAUAAGACCCUAUAAAACUUGAUAAUUUAGGCUAUAAAAAUCAAUUAGUUAUUUAAAUUUUUUUUAGUUAAUUUUAUUUUAUUGGGGCGAUAAAAAUAAAAAUAGUAACUGUUUUAAAGAUUUAAAUGGUUAUUUCCAAUUAUAUUAAAUGAUCCUUUUUUAGAGAUUAUAAGAUUAAGUUACUUUAGGGAUAACAGCGUAAUUUUCUUUGAAAGUUCUUAUUAACAAGAGAGAUUGCGACCUCGAUGUUGAAUUAAAAAUUCUUUAAGGUGUAGCAGCUUUAAUAGAAGGUCUGUUCGACCUUUAAAUUUUU